AGGGGUGUAGCUCAAUUGGCAGAGCGUUGGUCUCCAAAACCAAAGGUUGCGAGUUCGAUUCCCGCCGCCCCUGCCA
Molecule: transfer RNA, 76 nt
Filed under: Planctomycetaceae bacterium
Lineage: Bacteria; Pseudomonadati; Planctomycetota; Planctomycetia; Planctomycetales; Planctomycetaceae
Description: tRNA-Trp
Rfam family: tRNA
About the family: Transfer RNA (tRNA) molecules are approximately 80 nucleotides in length.
Source: RNAcentral